RNA transcript from Dama dama (fallow deer), 3744 nucleotides. It is a transcript of the gene named SP110 nuclear body protein, with no coding region annotated. The record is from RefSeq and is a predicted model, not a curated record. The transcript is spliced from 23 exons. NCBI's taxonomy places the organism in Eukaryota, Metazoa, Chordata, Mammalia, Artiodactyla, Cervidae.
UGUAGCAAAGCAGAGACUUCCUGUUUUGCCCACUGGUCUCUCUCUGCCCUUUUGCCAGUCUCCCAGGAGCUACCCCAGGCCAGCCUCUGGAUCCGUAAGGGGGCACGAACAGGUAGCCAUCUCAGCAUCCAGGAGAGCCACCAUGACCAGGGCCUUAGAAGAGGCUCUUCUUCAGCACUUCAUACAUCAGAAGCUGGAGAUCGCUUAUGCCAUCAACAAGCCAUUUCCCUUUUUUGAAGGCCUCCGAGACAACUUCUUCAUCACUGAGAGACUGUACAGGGAAUCUAUGGAAGCCUGGAAAAAUCUGGUCCCUUUAUCCAGAGUCGUGUACAACAUUCUUACCCAACAGGAGAAGACAUUUAGUCUGUCAUUUUUGAAGAUACUGUUCAGCCAAAUCAACCUGAAGGAAUAUCCCAACCUGAUAACGACUCUCAAUAGCUUCACAAGAGUUGUCACUUCCCAUGGAGGCUGGAGCAGAAUCACAACCAUCCCUCUUGAAGCCCCAGCCAACCCAGCAGGAAGGAGCUCCUCGAGGACCCUGCCCCUGCCGCGUCUUCCCUGCCGACAACCCCUACGGAGCCUCCCACCCUAUGUACCCAGUGUCAGCGAGCCCAGAGCCCCGGCCCAGCACAGCUCUGAGGUCCUGUGUGAGCUGCCCAGCCCUACCAGCCCCACCAUGGCUCUCCGGGGAACCAUCCAGGAAGGAAGACUCAGUCCAGUGUCCAGUGACAACCUGAUCCCUCAAAUAAAAGAUAAAGAAGACACUCAAGAGAUGCCCUGCACUUCCUCAGCCUCUGUGCCAGUGAGAAGAGAUGAUGUCCCUGAACCAAGUGACUCAAAGGAGCUCCAGGAGGCAUCCAGGACACUUCCCAGCAAGAAAGGAAAGAAAAGAAAAAGAUGUAUCUGGGCCACCACAAAGAAGAGACAGCACAAAAAAAGCCACCGAGGAAGUAAGAUGAGAACACAAGAGGGGGUUGGAGGCCAGAGACCGCUCAUCUUUGCCGGUCAAGGGGCAGCCUUACCUGGGCAUGGAAUUCAAAAGACACUCCAACAGCAAGAUCAGGUGACUCAUAAAGAGGACCACUCAACCAGCAAUACAAAGGUCGUGACAAGGGCACAAAAGAGGACAGAAUGUGCCCAGAUGCCUAAAUCAGAGGAGAUCAGUGAUAAUCCUUCAGAAAUGGAUGAAGGGAAGAGACCCCAGGAGCCACCCAGCACACCACCAAGAAUCAUCCACAACAAAGAUUCCACAGAUGAUGACAGUAAACUGUCUUUGGGAAAAUCUCCCGGGGAAAAGCAAAGGAAGAGAAAAAUACAUAACUGGUCAAGUUCAAAAAAAAGACAGAAGAAAUGUCCCUCAAGAGGAGAAGCCUCAUCAGGGCUCAGAAUCGAAGAGAAGCUCCAAGGGAUGAAUCAGGUGACUCAAAAGAAGGACGACUCAACCGGAAAUUCAAAGGUCAUGACAAGAGCCCAAAAGGCACAGGCUGAAGGUGCCCAAACGCCUGCACAUGAGGAUAAAGCUGGUGCUGGCACUGGUCACCAGAAUGCUCAGCGUGGGAGGGUCUCUCGUGGAGCCCGCACAGAAAAACCUGAAGAUGAAACUCUGGAUUUUCACUCUCCUGAACUCCCCGUGACCUGUGGGGAGGCAAAGGGGAUUUUAUAUACGGAGAAAAUGAAGCAAGGAUCCUUAGAGAAGUGUAUUCAGAAUGAGAAGGGAGUUUGGUUCACACCAAGAGAAUUUGAAAUUGAAGGAAAGCGGAAACAUCUUAAGAACUGGAAGCGGAGCAUGUUUUGUGGAGGAAAGAGCCUAGAAAAGCUGCUGCAGGAAGGAAUUUUGCUCUGUCCUUCAGGAAAACAUCUCAAGAGAGAGGUACCAAUUCCCUUCCAGCAGGAAAACUCCAAGGAAUGUGAGGUGUGCUGUAAAGGGGGCUCGCUGCUCCGCUGUGACACUUGCCUGCGAGCCUUUCACGAGGACUGUCACAUCCCACCGGCGGAGGCUGAGAGGAGCCCGUGGAGUUGCACCUUCUGCAGGAUGAAGGAGUCUUCAGGAAACCAGCAGGGUCUCCAGAAAUCUGAAGUUCGGGCAAGGUCCAUGCAGCCGGGGGAGCAGCUGAAAUGUGAAUUUCUCCUCUUGAAAGCCUACUGUCAUCCACAAAGCUCUUUCUUCGCGGAGACCCCACUUAAUAUUCGAGAUUAUGGUGAGCCCUUUAGGGAAGCCAUGUGGUUGGACCUGGUUAAAGAAAGGCUGACUGAGAAAGUGUACACAAUGGCUUGGUUUUUACGGGACAUGCGUCUGAUAUUUCACAACCACAAAACAUUUUACAAGGCUUCCGACUUUGGUCAGGUAGGACUGGAUUUAGAGGCAGAAUUUGAAAAGGACCUCAAAGAAGUGUUUAUUUUUCAUGAAGCCAGUGAGAACAGCUUCCAGGUUCAUCCUUGAUCCUGUUCUGGAUGGACUAAAGCAUCCCAGCUUCAGGAUCCAGAUAACGCUUAUGGGACCUUCAGUUCAGUUGCUUAGUCGUGUCUGACUCUUUGCAACGCCAUGGACUACAGCACGCCAGACUUCCCUGUCCAUCACCAACUCCAGGGGAUCAUCUCUUAAGAACUGCUAAGCCUGGCUUGAGCUUUAUUCUGCUGAAAGAACACGGCCUUCAGCAUGGGUCCCCAGGGUGGAAAUUCCUGAUCCGUUCGAGGUCCAGCUCCAUGGACAUUCCAGACCAGCAUCCGGAAGACGGCCGACAUCCGCAGCCCCGAAGAGCUGGCCCCUGAUCUCCUGGCUCUGCCUCUAAGUGAGAGCUGCCCACAGUCUCUACCCCGCUGGACCCCACCUCUGCCUGGGUCUGCAGGGCCUCCCUGGUCUCCCCACUUUGACCCUGCCCAACCCCCACCCCAAAGCCUAUUCUCAGCUCAGCAGCCAGAUUGGGCCAGUUCAACCCAUCUGCUCUUCCCUACUCCCCGCCCCUCUCAGGGUGAAAUCCCAGGGCCCUUGACAAGGUGGGGGAGCCCUCCUCUCAUCUACUCCCCUUGGUGGGUUUUCCUCCAGCCUCCGCACUGUGCCUGGAGCACCAGGUCACCCCUGCUCAAGGCCUUUCCGCCAGCCUGUCCCUGUGUCUGGAAGGUUCUUCCCCCUAGAAAUGCUCAGGGUUCAUUCUCCUGUCCUCGAGGUUUUCACUCAAAUGUCACCUCUGGAGGAGGCCACCCCAGCAUCCCUUAUCUCUCUCCCACUCUCUUGCCUUGCCUGCUGGCUUGCUUUCCCCAGAGCCUCACUGGGCAUGUUCUAACACUUCAUGUGGUCUGUGGAUUGUUUGCAGUGUCUGUCUCUCACCACUAUUAAGUUCCUUGGGGACAAAAUUCUCUAUUUUGUUUGCCAGAAUACCCCCUCUCCAACUCUUCGGCGCUUCAUAAAUAUUUGUUGACUGAAUGCCCCGUUAGUCUGGGCCAGCUGGCCUGGGGGGAUCCAUAGCAUCUCUGAGCAAGCCUCCUGCUUCCCAGGGUUCUACACCAUUCGUUGGGUGGGGGGGUCUUACUCCCGGGCCCCCAUGUGGUAAGCCAGGCUUCAGGGUGGGUUAACUGCCCCGAGACCCCCUUCUGCCCAUGCCUGUCUUGUCUGGGCCCAGUUCCCUCCCUGCCCAGAGCCUUGCUUCACUUGGAUGGAGGCAUCUCACCCUCACCCUCGCCCACUUGGGGUCCAGCUGGGCUCUGGGGGCUGUGGGAGCCUGUGCUAUUUUACCUGUCCAUGCUGCU